Molecule: non-coding RNA, 22 nt
Filed under: Rattus norvegicus (Norway rat)
Lineage: Eukaryota; Metazoa; Chordata; Mammalia; Rodentia; Muridae
Source: RNAcentral
UGCCAUUUUCUUUUCUCGGUCC